This 423-nucleotide ribosomal RNA is filed under the name uncultured bacterium. RNAcentral describes it as "bacterial SSU rRNA". It matches the Rfam family "Bacterial small subunit ribosomal RNA", at positions 358 to 773 of the family's 1533-position model. The record is from RNAcentral.
GGAAUUUUGGACAAUGGGGGAAACCCUGAUCCAGCGACGCCGCGUGGGUGAAGAAGGCCUGCGGGGUGUAAAGCCCUUUCGGUGGGGAAGAAAAGCCUCGACCUAAUACGUCUGGGUCUUGACGUCACCCACACAAGAAGCACCGGCUAACUCUGUGCCAGCAGCCGAGGUAAUACAGAGGGUGCGAGCGUUAAUCGGAAUUACUGGGCGUAAAGCGCACGUAGGCGGCUUUGCAAGUCGGGUGUGAAAUCCCCGGGCUCAACCUGGGAACUGCAUUCGAUACUGCAUUGCUCGAGUAUGGGAGAGGGAAGUGGAAUUUCCGGUGUAGCGGUGAAAUGCGUAGAUAUCGGAAGGAACACCAGUGGCGAAAGCGACUUCCUGGACCAAUACUGACGCUCAGGUGCGAAAGCGUGGGGAGCAAAC